CAUAAUUCCUGCCAUUCACCUAGAAAGAACGAUUAACUUAAGUUGUGUCUUAUUCUUUCAAUUCCUCAUGUUUGCCGUCAUCUCCGCUGUUGGCCUGUCUACUGCUGAAAUUUAAAUCGCAAUAACACCAGCAGAGAUCCGAGCCCAGCGUGUUCUGGUGUGCCUGUUCAUGCGCACCCCCCACCAGAUAGCGCCCCCCACACAAGUGCCAGAAGUGGGAUCUCUGCUUCCAGCCAGCCAGUAGCGGAGGUUCAAGGAGUCCUCAGUAACAUCAGAGUCAUCAAAAUGGCAACCUAUGUGCUGGUACGAUUGCCUAUCGAGGAGAAAGUCAGGAAGUUCUCCCUGGUGGAAGGCCGCUUGCCCCUUCAAAGCCUGAAGCGAUGCUACGUGAAUGCUACCAGCCUGAUUCACAGAGCUGAUAAGGACAAUGAACUGAUCCUGCCAAUUUUGAAUGGAGCCAUUCUCCCUCCAGAGGGGGAUGGGAAGUGGAAGGAGAGUAUGCACCAUUGAUUACCUCAGUUGUGGCCAAGACAGAACAGUCCCAUACUAAGUCUGUGUCAGAGGACCUCCUCCGUGUGCUUGUGACCAGACCGCCCCAAGUUGUGAUAGCCCCUAACUGCAAGCUUCCGAUAUUCGAAGGGAGGGACGACGUAAAAUCUGUGCAAAUUGUUGACUUUGUUGCAGCAAUGAACCAUGCUUAUGAGAGAUACCACAUUCCAGAGGACCAGCGUGGGCAGUUUUUGCUGGGUGCACUUCGAGGUGGCCCAAAGGUUGAAGUCUGGUCAUUGCUGUCAUCUGGGAAAACAGCUAAAGAGGCUUUGGAAUACUUGGCAAUCUCCUAUAGUGAGAUCUUGAUGAGGGGAGAACUGCAGCAGAAAUGCCUGGAACGAUGCCAGCAACGGGGUGAGUCCCUUUGUCAGUUUAGCGUGGAACUACAGCGGCUCUUCUACCGACUGGUGAAGCGAGACUCUGGACAAGAACCCAGACGUCAUCAUACGGGAGCAGUUUGUGGAUGGCAUCGAACAGGAGGGACUGAGCCACUCCUGUCGAGAUUUUGUUGCUCCUAAUCCAUCUGUCUCCUUUGGAAAAGUCAAGGACUGGGCCAUAAAGCUGGAGGAACGGGAAAUGGCCCGGACACAGACUACAACCCCUCAAAGUAGCUGAGGGGAAACCUGAUGCCAUCGAGCGACUGGAGAAACAAUGCAAGAGAUCAUGGUGUCUGUAAAAUCCCCUUCUUAGAAGAUUUCAUUCGCUGGGAGGCUGCCUCCACCGAUGAACCCCCAAGGUUCUCCCGCACCGACUAGUGUCAUGACAUCCAGAUUUUGAGAACACUAGACCAACUGCUCCACCUUCCCACAGCCCAGGGUUUUCGACCCUCCAAUUUCUGCACCAACUCAGUCCCCUGCAAGGUGUUUUAGUUGUGGCCAACCUGGAUAUUUUGCAAGAACUUGUCUCAACUCUGCUCGACAUCACCACAAUUCCACACCCACUGCACCACCUCGAGCUGAGGAGACUUCGGGAAACUAAUGCAUCCUACUGUUGAGAGCCAAACAGUGGGGAAUUGUAGAGCUGGCUCAACUCAUGACCUGUCUGCAUUUCAAGCCCGUGCUGCAUCAGAAUGUUAUACAGUCAAUGUCAGGUUUGAAAAUCAAACUGGUCCUUGCCUAUUGGACACCGGAUCCAUGGUCACCACAAUCACCAAGGACUACUUUGACGGAACACUGGCACUAGAUUGUGUGCAACUGGAAAGUAUUCCUGAUAAGUUCAAGCUCGUCUCGGCAAAUGGCACCAACAUCCCCUAUGUAGUCUGUUUCAAGACAAGUGUGGAAUUGGUGGAAAGGACUGUUGACUUCAGACUCGAACUAGUCAUACAAGGGGUCAGGCCAAACUCGAGCCCGUCAAAUGUGCCAGGCAUUGUGGGGAUGAACAUUCUAGGGGACUGUUGGUCUCGACUGAUAAGCAGUCAUGGUCAGUGGUGGUGUUGGACCGAUUUGGCAAAAGAUGCUGCAGACAGUUGCGAAGCGCAAAGCUUUCGAUAACAUCCAGUCUACAAUUGGAAAGGUACACUUGAAGAACGGAGCCCCACUAAUAGUACCGGCCAGGCAAGCGGUGGUUGUUGAGGCCUCAGCACGGAGAGCCCCAGGAAAUGUUGACUAUGAAGCAGUUCUUGAACCCCUGCAAUGCACCAAUACUCCACGGGGUGUGCAAGCAGUGAGGGGACUGGUGACAGUUUCUUCAGGAAAGUUGGCAGUGGUUUUGAUGAUUGAAACCGACCAGGACCUCCAAUUGCCAGAAGGAAGCUGUUAGGGUACCUUUUAUCAUGGAGACAUUAUGGAGGAGAUCCGGACGGAGGAGGCUGAGGCAACCCAGACUUCACACAUCCUCACCCAGGCAUGCGGGCCACCCACACCAGACCCACCUUCCACUCCGGAUGUUCAAAUUGGUAGAGGGCUGGCCAAAGAACAACUUGACAGUUUUCACUUUCUUCUGCACGAAUUUGAUGACGUAUUUGCCAAGGGAGAAGGAGACUUGGGUUACACCGACACUGUCCGACAUCGAAUUGACACCGGGGACACCCCUCCAAUCCAUCAACGCUACCGCUCACUUCCCCCCUCCCAGUGCAAGGAAGUUCGGGCCCAUAUAUAGAAAUUACUGGAGGCUGGCAUUAUUCGUGAAAGUUCCAGCCCGUGGGCCUCUCCCAUCGUCGUCGUUCGGAAGAAAGAUCAAUCAAUAAGGCUAUGUAUUGACUACCGCCGGUUGAAUGCAGCUACGGUGAAGACCUCUUUCCCCCUGCCAAGGAUUGACGAGACCCUGCAGACGCUGGGUGGAGCCAAGUUCAUGAGUGUGCUUGACCUUGCUUCAGGAUACCAUCAGGUAGCUGUUGAGGACCGAGACAUUGAGAAAACAGCCUUUACAACACCCUUCGGGCUAUUCGAGUACAUGAGGAUGCCUUUCAGCCUGUGCAACGGCCCUGCAACAUUCCAGCACCUCAUGUAAAGAUGUCUGGGAGACCAAGUGUUGGAGUCCGUUCUCAUCUACCUAGAUAACAUCAUAGUGUUUUCAACCACGUUUGAUGAACACAUUGCACGUCUGCAGGUGGUUUUCAACCGAUUGCGCCAUUACUGGUUAAAGGUCAAGCCCCAGAAGUGUUCUUUCUUCAAAAAGGAGGUUAAUUAUCUGGGGCAUUUAGUUGUGGCAGGUGAAGGCAUCAGGGCUGACCCUGACAAGGUGGCUGUCAUCCAGGACUGGCCAGUACCGACAACUUUGACUGAGCUCAGGAGCUUUCUGGGGUUCACCGGGUAUUUUUGCAAGUUCAUCUGUGAUUACUCCAGUUUGGAGUACCAAAGAGAAGAAAUGGACUGGAUGCAAGAAACUUAACCUUGAUGGCGAAGCACUGAAGGCAUUCCAGUCUCUGAAGUCGUCACUCCUACAUGCACCAGUUCUCGCUUUUGCUGAUUUUAGUCGUCCAUUCAUUGUGGAGAUAGAUGCCAGCUCUCUGGGUCUGGGAGCCAUACUCUUUCAACAACAGGAUGACGGGUCUAAGCAAGUCAUUGCUUACGCCUCCAGGUCACUCUGACCAACAGAACGAAAUUACAAGAAUUACUCCGCCUUCAAGUUGAAACUGCUGGCUAUACGAUGGGCAGUAUGCCAAGUUUUCCGAGACUACCUCAUGGGAAACAAAAGUACCGUAAACACUGAUCAUCCCCCUUGAAGUUUUUGAACUCCGCAAAUCUUGGCUGCACUGAGAUGAGAUGGGUGCAACAACUGGCGGCGUUUGACUUUCAGCUAGAUUUCAAACCAGGCAAGAAGAAUAAAGCCCCUGACGUCUUAUCAAGAUUGAAACUGAGAAGUUCGUCCGAAGUUCCAGAUGACCAGAUCACAUAGGUGUCCUCAUGUGCCAUGCAAGCCUGCGUGGGUGGUUGCACAGAGUCUGGUACAGAGAUACCCAAAAACUUAGUUCACCAAAUUCGAGUUACCAGUGAAGAAGGAAGGAAGUGUCUUCCUGGAUACAAUCCGGAGGAUCAUAGGAGACUACAGGAAGAAGAUGUCAUACUCAGGCGUAUUCUACUUGUAUGUAGAGAGAGCCGAAGACCCAAAGGAUGUGGCGUUACUGCUGAAGCACUGGGAUCAGCUACAUUUUAAGCAAGGUGUCCUAUUCCGCCGUGGAGAAUUUUUGCGGGAAGACCAGGAGAUAGGCUUGUCACCCCGGCUGCCUUGGUCGACACAGUGCUGAUAUCCUUUCAUGAUGACUGUGGGCAUUUUGGGGCAAAGAGAACACUGCAACUAGUCCAACCAUUGUUCUUUUGGUUACGAAUGGAGGUUUCGGUCCACACUUGGUGCCAACAGUGCGAGAGAUGUGUAGUUAGGAAGAAACCAAUCAGACAAGCCCAUCCACCACUGGGAACCCUCAGAGCUACCGCGCCUUUAGAAGUAAUGGCAAUGGACUUUACCGUGUUGGAAACUUCCUCAGACGGCUACGAGAAUGUCCUUGUGUUCACGGACACAUUUACCAGGUUCGUUUGGGCUGUGCCGACCAAGAACCAGAAGGCCCACACCGUUGCAAAGGCGCUGAUAAAGUAUGUGAUAACACCAUUUGAGGCCCCUUUGAGGUUGCACUCCGACAAUGGACGGUGUUUUGAGUCACAAGUCAUCACUGAACUCUGCCAACUAUAUGGAAUUGGACGCUCACAAACGACCUCUUAUCAUCCCCAAGGGAAUGGGAUGUGUGAACGAUUCAAUCGCACCCUCCAUAACCUCCUCGUUACCUUGCCUUCACAAAAGAAAGUAAGGUGGACGGAGCAGCUCCCAUUCCUGGUAAUGGCGUAUAAUAACAGCAGACAUACAUCAACAGGCUACGAACCAUCGUUCUUGAUGUUCGGAAGAACGGCGAGGUUGCCUCAGCAUUUGCUCUUAAAUGUUGACCACAAUCCGGUUAGUGGGACAACUCAAGAUGUCUAUGUCAAGAAACACAAGGAAGGGUUGGAGAGGGCCAGACAGAUUGCAGUAAACAACCAAGACGAGGGCAGCGGAUCGACAAAUGUUCCAUAACCAGACCAUGUAUGAGAAGCCAAUUACCACUGGGGAGUAUGUCUUAGUGAGAGAUCGCUCACACCUAGGGCGCUCAAAAAUACAGGACUUUUGGGAACCAGAACCAUACAUGAUUGUGGAGUGUCCGUUUGAGGGCCAGCUCGUUUACAUUGUCCAGAAUUCCUGUGAUCAGCGAAAGGUUCUCCAUCGCUGCGAGAUCAAGCACUGCCCUUGGGACAUCAUGCGGUGGCAGGGGCAUUCCUCAUGUUUGCCGUCGCCUCCGUUGUUGGCCAGUCUACAACUGAAAUUUAAUUAGGGAAUUCAAGAAAUAACUACAGACUGUGAAACCAAGGAAAACAGGCUCGUGAUUGGCGGAAGACUGGACGCUUAAAAAACUGAAAGUGACAUGGCACUC
Acanthaster planci (crown-of-thorns starfish) is the source of this 5443-nucleotide long non-coding RNA. Lineage: Eukaryota; Metazoa; Echinodermata; Asteroidea; Valvatida; Acanthasteridae. The record is from RefSeq and is a predicted model, not a curated record.